This 65-nucleotide transfer RNA is filed under the name Anopheles pseudotibiamaculatus. RNAcentral's name for it is "tRNA-Pro". The record is from RNAcentral. Lineage: Eukaryota; Metazoa; Arthropoda; Insecta; Diptera; Culicidae.
CAAGAAAUAGUUUAUAAAAAUAUUAACUUUGGGAGUUAGUGAUAAAGAGGUUUCUUUUUUCUUGA